This 402-nucleotide ribosomal RNA is filed under the name uncultured bacterium. RNAcentral describes it as "bacterial SSU rRNA". It matches the Rfam family "Bacterial small subunit ribosomal RNA", at positions 29 to 477 of the family's 1533-position model. The record is from RNAcentral.
AGCGAACGCUGGCGGCAGGCUUAACACAUGCAAGUCGAGCGCCGUAGCAAUACGGAGCGGCAGACGGGUGAGUAACGCGUGGGAACGUGCCUUUUGGUUCGGAACAACACAGGGAAACUUGUGCUAAUACCGGAUAAGCCCUUACGGGGAAAGAUUUAUCGCCAAAAGAUCGGCCCGCGUCUGAUUAGCUAGUUGGUGAGGUAACGGCUCACCAAGGCGACGAUCAGUAGCUGGCUGAGAGGAUGAUCAGCCACACUGGGACUGAGACACGGCCCAGACUCCUACGGGAGGCAGCAGUGGGGAAUAUUGGACAAUGGGCGCAAGCCUGAUCCAGCCAUGCCGCGUGAGUGAUGAAGGCCCUAGGGUUGUAAAGCUCUUUUGUGCGGGAAGAUAAUGACGGUA